Herpailurus yagouaroundi (jaguarundi) is the source of this 402-nucleotide long non-coding RNA. RefSeq lists it as uncharacterized. The record is from RefSeq and is a predicted model, not a curated record. The transcript has 3 exons. NCBI's taxonomy places the organism in Eukaryota, Metazoa, Chordata, Mammalia, Carnivora, Felidae.
UCAAUAAAUGUUGGUUAAAUAGUGAACAUGCACAUGGAAAAAGCAAUCAUGGAGAAAUAAUACUGGUAUCAAAUGAGUCAUCCAUUGAUUUAUUAUGAUAGAGACUGCGUUUGACUCAGUGGUUAAGGAAUAUGUAGGAAAACUCCAUAUUUACUCUUUCUACUCUUUACUGUAAAAUCAGUAACAUGGAAAGUUCUUAGCUUACUUCACAUUGCCUGGUUUUAAAUACUGAGCUCUGUAAGUUGUCUUGCAGGGGACAAGAAAGCUUUUUUCAGAUAAUCUCUUUAAACCUAAGUGGUGCCAAAAAAGAUCACAUACUACCACAAAAAUAUAUUCUUUUUAUACCUAAGUUCUAUGAAAUAAUCAAAAUCAGAUUUGUGUAAGCUGUUUUCAAUCCUUAUA